This 805-nucleotide unclassified non-coding RNA is filed under the name Zea mays. Its description in RNAcentral is "misc RNA Zm00001eb030520". Lineage: Eukaryota; Viridiplantae; Streptophyta; Magnoliopsida; Poales; Poaceae. The record is from RNAcentral.
GCUCUACUUGGUUUAUCAGUCUCGCCACACUUCUGCUUCGAAGUAGAUGCCCCGUGCGUGGACGCCGCCGCCGCAGCGAGGCGCAGCUGCGCUCCCAGGCCUUCCGGUUCCGGACCACGGAACACGCGGCGGCGUGCAGCCUGUCGACGCCCUCCGCCACUGAAACGCCCGUGCACCUUGUUGGCGGCGAAGAAACAGGGCGCCUUCUCGCAGCCGCUGGAGUCCAGGACCAGGACGUCGAAGGAGCAGCCGCUGCCGCUGCCGCCGCCGCCGCCGCGCGUGAAGACCACGAGGUCGUCCUCCUGUAGCUCGUGCGCUCUGGCGAAGUCGCCCCAUCCUGACCCGAGGAGCAGCUCGUCGGCGUCGGCGUUCCUUGCGACGUCGACGAGCCACGUCGCGCCGCUCGGCGAUUUCAGGCUCAGCGUUUCGGACCCUUUUUCUGGAAGUGCUGGCUAUCACUGCUUGGGAAAUUUGGAGACAACGAAAUUCGGCUAUCUUCAGAGAAUCUGUUCCGUCUUUCAAUUCCGGGAGGACCUGAAGCUUCAGAUGAUCAGAUUUAGCGCUGAACUUAAAAUGCUUGUCUCAUUGUGGCUUUCUUCCCUUUAAGCUCACUAUCUCUCUCUUUCUCUUCAGCCCCACCUCUUCUUUUCUUGUGCAGUUUUAUCUUAUGUUUGUACCUAUUCCUUUUUUUUCAAUAUUACUAAAAUCUAUAGCUGUGGGGGUUUCCCCUGCAGCCUUUCUUUGUUAAUUUAUUGUACAAAUUUAGUCAACUAAUCAAACCUAUGAUAUUUUGGUUUAGGAUCAU